This 2238-nucleotide long non-coding RNA is filed under the name Homo sapiens (human). RNAcentral's name for it is "non-protein coding lnc-E2F6-6:1". The record is from RNAcentral. Lineage: Eukaryota; Metazoa; Chordata; Mammalia; Primates; Hominidae.
GGUCUUGCUGUGUCACCCAGGCUGGAGUGCAGUGGCAUGAUCUUAGCUCACUGCAACCUCUACCUCCCAAGUUCAAGCGAUUCUCUUGCCUCAGCCUCCUUAGUAGCUGGGAUUACAGUCGCCUGCCACCACGCCCGGCUAAUUUUUGUAUUUAUAGAAGAGACAGGGUUGCGCCAUGAUGGUCAGGCUGGUCUCAAACUCCUGACCUCAAUCAAGUGAGCCUCCUGCCUCAGCCUCCCAAAGUGCUGAGAUUAUAGGUGUGAGCCACCAUGCCCGGCCUUCUAUAAAGUAUUCUUGAAAUAGCUGCCUCACAGGCAGAUGUGGAAAAGCACCUGUAGUUUACAACUAAUUCAGUUAUUAUUUUUUCUUCCUCUGCUGUGCUGCUAUUGUGUGUUAGACACACUCUAAUUUAGUACUUAUGCUUUCUGCUUAUGUAUCUCCCCCAGGCUAGUAGCCCCUGGAACACAAGGUAAGGCCCCAUCAGAUUCAGUUCUUCCCUCAACACCUACCCUACUGCUUGGCCCAUGAGAGAUGCUUCAAAAAAAAAAAUGUGCAAAAGAUUAUGUCUUGGGGAAAAGCCAGGUCACAGGCACAAUAAGUGUGAGGAUUGUGCCAUUUCCCCGACUCUCCCCAGCUCUGUGCUCAUGCUCUUUCUUUAGCCUGGACCACUUGCUACUCCGUCCUGAUCCACACCCCACCUUUACUUGCCCAACCCCAACUCUGGUUGUAGAGAAUCUAGUCGUCCUUGAAGAAUCUUCCUAAAGAUCUGAAUGCCAAAUUAAUUAAUCAGUUGUGGAGUCAAAGCCUGCCUCUACCACUGCCUACUAGGACCUUGAGUAAAUUUUUGUAAUCCUGCUGAUCUUAAUUUUGCUGAUCUGCAAAUUGGGCAGAAAAAUACCUAUCUUUCAGUUUUGAUAUGAGAUUUACAUAAGCAAAUGCAUGUGGAAUGCCAAACACAUAGCAGAUGCUGAAUAAAUGCCUUCAAAUGGCCAUUUCUAACGGCUCUGGGAAAUUCUCCAUUCUGCAACAAUAUGCAGUCUUCUCGAGACCUCCGCUACGUUCUCUUUUUUUCUCAUCGUUUAUUUAGCAAACAUUAAUAGAGCAUGUUUUAUUUGCCAGACACUUUGCUAGAUGAUAGAGAUACAAAGAUUAGAAGCCAGGCAUGGGUGUCUCACGCCUAUAACUCCAGCACCUUGGGAGGCUGAGGCAGGAGGAUUGCUUAAGGUAAGGAGUUCAAAAAAUAAAAUAAAAUAAAACAUAAAAAAAAAUUAGCCAGGCAUGGUGGCAUGCACCUGUACUCUCAGCUACUUGGGAGUCUUAGCUGGGAGAUCACUUGAGGCCAGGAGUUUGACGCUACAGUGAAUUAUGACCGUGACACUGCCCUCCAGCCUGGGUGACAGAAAAAAAAAAAAAAAGAUUAGAGAAGGCCUCUGACCUCACAGUCUAGUGGGGAACCAGCUUCUUCGGGGAUUUUUCCCUGCCUCACCUCGCCCACCUCAGGCUGUGUAGAAACCCCCAGUCUAACCAGUUGUUUCCCUCCAACUCUGUACAUACCACGGUGUGUUGCCUUUUUAUUUCAAACAUGUGCUGGCCUCUGUUCUAAUCACAGCAACCUGUAUCCAUUAAUCCAUUUAAUCCUCACAACAACCUUAUCAGGUAAGUAUUGUCAUUAUUUGCAUUUUCCAAAUAAGGAAACUGAGGCACAGACAGAUUAAGUAACUGGCUUAAUAAGGUCUUCUAGUUUAUACGUAGAGGCAGCCAGGACUUGAAAACACACCUUCUGGCUCCAGCUAAAUUAACAUGCUCUGUUUACUUAUCUGUCCCCACUGAAAUUGGAGGUUGAACCCGUGGCAUAUUCAAACGAAUAAGUAUCGCCUGUGCCCACCCCAAUAUCUGACACUAUAGGUCAACGAUAACUCAUUCGUCAAACAGGAAGGAGGAAGGAAGGAAGGAAGGAAGGAAGGAAGGAAGGCAGGCAGGCAGGCAGGCGGGCAGGCAGAGGUAAAACGAUUCCACAAUGGUGUGGUUGCUCACAUUUACUAAGCAUCAACACUGACCUGCCUGUAAGAUGCGCUAACAGAGCUCACGAAUAAAUGAAGGCUGGGUGUGGUAGCUCACGCCUAUAAUCCCAGCACUUGAGAGGCCAAGGUGGGAGGACGGCUUGAGCCCCAGAGUUCAGGACCAGCCGGGGCAAUAUACUGAGACCCUGUCUCUACUAAAAUUAAAAUUAAAAAUUAG